RNAcentral lists this ribosomal RNA (681 nucleotides) under uncultured bacterium. RNAcentral's name for it is "bacterial SSU rRNA". It matches the Rfam family "Bacterial small subunit ribosomal RNA", at positions 8 to 671 of the family's 1533-position model. The record is from RNAcentral.
AUAGUUUGAUCCUGGCUCAGGACGAACGCUGGCGGCGUGCUUAACACAUGCAAGUCGAACGGGGCGUUUAUUUCGGUAAACGCCAAGUGGCGAACGGGUGAGUAACGCGUAAGCAAUCUGCCUUCAAGAUGGGGACAACACCGCGAAAGUGGUGCUAAUACCGAAUGAAGGUGAAAAAGUCGCAUGACGGUUUCACUAAAGGAGGCCGAAAGGCUUCCGCUUGAAGAUGAGCUUGCGUCUGAUUAGCUGGUUGGCGAGGGUAAAGGCCCACCAAGGCGACGAUCAGUAGCCGGUCUGAGAGGAUGAACGGCCACAUUGGGACUGAGACACGGCCCAGACUCCUACGGGAGGCAGCAGUGGGGAAUAUUCCGCAAUGGGCGAAAGCCUGACGGAGCAACGCCGCGUGAACGAAGAAGGUCUUAGGAUCGUAAAGUUCUGUUGUUAGGGGCGAAGGGUGCUGUUUUGAAUAAGGGCGGCAUUUGACGGUACUUAACGAGGAAGCCACGGCUAACUACGUGCCAGCAGCCGCGGUAAUACGUAGGCGGCAAGCGUUGUCCGGAAUUAUUGGGCGUAAAGGGAGCGCAGGCGGGAGAUUAAGCGGACUUUAAAAGUGCGGGGCUCAACCCCGUGAGGGGGUCCGAACUGGUCUUCUUGAGUGCAGGAGAGGGAAGCGGAAUUCCU